GGGGAUUUAGCUCAGUGGUAGAGUGCUUGCCUAGCAAGCGCAAGGUCCUGGGUUCAGUCCCCU
This 63-nucleotide transfer RNA is filed under the name Rattus norvegicus (Norway rat). It matches the Rfam family "tRNA". From Rfam's summary of the family: Transfer RNA (tRNA) molecules are approximately 80 nucleotides in length. Their secondary structure includes four short double-helical elements and three loops (D, anti-codon, and T loops). Further hydrogen bonds mediate the characteristic L-shaped molecular structure. tRNAs have two regions of fundamental functional importance: the anti-codon, which is responsible for specific mRNA codon recognition, and the 3' end, to which the tRNAs corresponding amino acid is attached (by aminoacyl-tRNA synthetases). tRNAs cope with the degeneracy of the genetic code in two manners: having more than one tRNA (with a specific anti-codon) for a particular amino acid; and 'wobble' base-pairing, i.e. permitting non-standard base-pairing at the 3rd anti-codon position. The record is from Rfam by way of RNAcentral. Lineage: Eukaryota; Metazoa; Chordata; Mammalia; Rodentia; Muridae.